This is a long non-coding RNA of Cercocebus atys (sooty mangabey), 825 nucleotides long. RefSeq lists it as uncharacterized. The transcript has 3 exons. The record is from RefSeq and is a predicted model, not a curated record. Lineage: Eukaryota; Metazoa; Chordata; Mammalia; Primates; Cercopithecidae.
GAGUUGUAUCACAGGUUUUGAACCAUCGCAAGCAUCCCUGCUGUAAUGUGAGCAUCUGCAGGAUCUGACGCUUGCCUUGCAGCAGAAUUCACUCCAUCUCCCCUCUGGAUAUUAGACUGAUAAUUUGGAUCAGGUCUCAGCAUGGGCCACUGGGGAAGACUACAGCCCUGCUGAGCGAUGGAAGGAUUAUCCACUCAAGGAGUUCACACGUCCUGGCCGACAUGGAGAACAUGACUAGAAGUAGAUUUGGAGGGUGCUCGCUGGUGGAUUGUGGAAUGUAAGCCUGAAGAAGCAGAGUUUAAUUCUACAGAGGUAUUUUCAUAAUGUAUUACCCUGACAGGGCUCCUGGUGUUGGUCCUUAGACACUCCUGGGAUGGCUCCAUGGAAACAUGCAGGAAACCUUGGUCACAUGACAUGAUGCGGAGAUGUCAGAGUUGCAUGAACGGAGUUAUGGAGGAAGACAUGAAAAGACUUCGAGAGUCCUUCAUUCUAAUUGGUGAAGUGGAAGCACAUGGCUGGUGUAAAGAAUAAGAAAGUAAUUAGGAAACAGCAGGAGAAGAAAGCAGAACCCUAAACCUUGAAUCAGCCUGGCUCCUAGAAGAGUGUUUCUCAAAGUGAACUCCAUGGACCACCUGAAUCAGAAGCUCGUGAGGCUUUUAAUAAUAAUAAUAAUAAUAAAGUACAGGUUCUGGGAAGCACCCAACACAAUAAGACAGAAUCUUGGAAUGAAGGGUGAAAAGGUGCAUUUUAAAAUAACCUCCAGAGCUGAUUCUUAUUCAAACUGACUUGAAAACUGCUGCGCUGGUGGCAAGAAAUCAAGGGACU